This 85-nucleotide transfer RNA is filed under the name Felis catus (domestic cat). It matches the Rfam family "tRNA". Rfam says of the family: Transfer RNA (tRNA) molecules are approximately 80 nucleotides in length. Their secondary structure includes four short double-helical elements and three loops (D, anti-codon, and T loops). The record is from Rfam by way of RNAcentral. Lineage: Eukaryota; Metazoa; Chordata; Mammalia; Carnivora; Felidae. RNAcentral also lists the same sequence under 2 other names.
GCCUGGGUGGCUUAGUUGGUUAAGCUUUCGACUUAGGUUCAGGUUAUGAUCUCACAGUACAUGGGUUCAAGUCCCACAUCAGGCU